GACGAACGCUGGCGGCGUGCUUAACACAUGCAAGUCGAACGGAAAGGCCCUGCUUUUGUGGGGUGCUCGGGUGGCGAACGGGUGAGUAACACGUGAGUAACCUGCCCUUGACUUUGGGAUAACUUCAGGAAACUGGGGCUAAUACCGGAUAGGAGCUCCUGCUGCAUGGUGGGGGUUGGAAAGUUUCGGCGGUUGGGGAUGGACUCGCGGCUUAUCAGCUUGUUGGUGGGGUAGUGGCUUACCAAGGCUUUGACGGGUAGCCGGCCUGAGAGGGUGACCGGCCACAUUGGGACUGAGAUACGGCCCAGACUCCUACGGGAGGCAGCAGUGGUGAAUAUUGCACAAUGGGCGGAAGCCUGAUGCAGCAACGCCGCGUGCGGGAUGACGGCCUUCGGGUUGUAAACCGCUUUCGCCUGUGACGAAGCGUGAGUGACGGUAAUGGGUAAAGAAGCACCGGCUAACUACGUG
This 468-nucleotide ribosomal RNA is filed under the name uncultured bacterium. RNAcentral's name for it is "partial 16S ribosomal RNA". It matches the Rfam family "Bacterial small subunit ribosomal RNA", at positions 28 to 507 of the family's 1533-position model. The record is from RNAcentral.